Molecule: long non-coding RNA, 1011 nt
Organism: Rhinopithecus bieti (black snub-nosed monkey)
Lineage: Eukaryota; Metazoa; Chordata; Mammalia; Primates; Cercopithecidae
Source: Ensembl
GACAGAGCGAGACUCCAUCUCAAAAAAUAAAUAAAUAAAUAAAAGAAAAAGCUUCAUCCCAUUUUAACUUACCUUUUGAUUUUAUUAUUUGUGGGGAUAUUGCUAAUUGCCUCCCUGUGACCCCAAACUUCCUCAAUUAGCAAAUUCUCAGCAUCUUUGCCUGUCUCCUAUGGCACAUGAGACCCGUGUUCUACAUGCUCUUGCAGGUGCUAGUCUCUGGGGUUUUGUUGACAAAGCAAAUUAACAUGAUCUUUAUUAGCAAAUGUUUCCUUACCAUAAGCUUCUGGUUCUUUGGGUCUUAACAUUAAAUAUCUUUAUUUUCAAUUCAGUAACUCGGCCAGAUGUCCUGUCUCCCCUUUUUAGAUCUAUGGGUACUCUGAGAAAGGAUCUUGGAAGACAAUGACCUCAUAAUACUUGAAUUGUUCCACAUCAGGCUUCUGCUCAGGGAGUGUCAACCUAAGUGAGGCAGAAAUAAUGUGCUUUUAUUAUGCAGCUGGCAGAUGAAAUAUUGUGCUUGUUUUAUAAGAAAUUAUAUACUUAAAACUGGAGGCAUUUGCAGAUCUUAGGGCCAAUAAGUUGUAUUCAAUUACCUAAACAGGUUUGUUCAUCUCACAUGUUCCGCUUUAAUCAGGGUAUCUAGAAUCAGAGCUUCAAGAUGGCUGACUAGAGGCACCCAGCGCUGGCCUCCUCCACAAAGAAAGACAAAAAUGUGAGGGGGUCUCAGAAACACCCAUUACAAUGGCUUCCCAGGCUCCCCUCAGAACAGUCACAUGAUGCCUGGAAUGGUGCCUUCAGGGAGUCAUGCAGUGUCCGCUCAACAAGUGCUGCUUUCCAUUCUUCAGUAAUGACAGACAAUGAACGCUUUGAGGGCAGCGCAUGCAUCUUCAUAAGGAGCCCAGAGGAUGCUUGGCUUGUGAAUGUUUUCUCUGAAUUGCUGUUCAUGACUCCAUCCACCACCAUCAAGAUUGGGAGCACUACAUAAUGAUGGGAGUGCCUGAAGCCACAUCUAAG